UUCUGAAAGGAAGAUCCUUUAAGAUGGCAUCAUGAGUCCGCAUGUUCACAUGAUUAAAGGUAUUCCGGUAGACGAUGGGGAUGCGUUCCAUUAGAUAGUAGGCGGGGUAACGGCCCACCUAGUCUUCGAUGGAUAGGGGUUCUGAGAGGAAGGUCCCCCACAUUGGAACUGAGACACGGUCCAAACUCCUACGGGAGGCAGCAGUGAGGAAUAUUGGUCAAUGGGCGAGAGCCUGAACCAGCCAAGUAGCGUGAAGGAUGACUGCCCUAUGGGUUGUAAACUUCUUUUAUAAAGGAAUAAAGUCGGGUAUGGAUACCCGUUUGCAUGUACUUUAUGAAUAAGGAUCGGCUAACUCCGUGCCAGCAGCCGCGGUAAUACGGAGGAUCCGAGCGUUAUCCGGAUUUAUUGGGUUUAAAGGGAGCGUAGAUGGAUGUUUAAGUCAGUUGUGAAAGUUUGCGGCUCAACCGUAAAAUUGCAGUUGAUACUGGAUAUCUUGAGUGCAGUUGAGGCAGGCGGAAUUCGUGGUGUAGCGGUGAAAUGCUUAGAUAUCACGAAGAACUCCGAUUG
Molecule: ribosomal RNA, 567 nt
Filed under: uncultured Bacteroides sp.
Lineage: Bacteria; Pseudomonadati; Bacteroidota; Bacteroidia; Bacteroidales; Bacteroidaceae
Description: bacterial SSU rRNA
Rfam family: Bacterial small subunit ribosomal RNA
Source: RNAcentral